Molecule: signal recognition particle RNA, 285 nt
Filed under: Jaculus jaculus (lesser Egyptian jerboa)
Lineage: Eukaryota; Metazoa; Chordata; Mammalia; Rodentia; Dipodidae
Description: Metazoan signal recognition particle RNA (ENSJJAG00000006634.1)
Rfam family: Metazoan signal recognition particle RNA
About the family: The signal recognition particle (SRP) is a universally conserved ribonucleoprotein.
Source: RNAcentral
GAUAAAAAUUGGUGUGUGUCUGUAGUCGCAGGUACUCGGGAGGCUGAGACAGGAGGAUUGCUUGAGUCCAGGAGCUCUGGGCUGCCUAUCAGGAGUCUGUACUAAGUUCAGCAUCAAUAUGGGGACCUCCCCGGAGCGGGGGACCACCAGGGUGCCUAAGGAGGAGUGAAUGGGUCCAGAUGGGAAAUGGAGCAGGUCAAAAAUCCCGUGCUGAUCAGUAGUGGGAUCAUGCCUGUGAAUAGCCACUGCAGUCCAGCUUGGGCAAUACACAGAGACCCCGUCUCU